GUGCUCUCCUUGGCAGCGUAGAUACUAAAAUGGAAACAGCAUAGAGAUUAGCAUGAUCCGUGUGCACGAGUGACACGCAGAUGUGUGAAGCAUUCCAUACUUUU
Suricata suricatta (meerkat) is the source of this 104-nucleotide small nuclear RNA. The record is from Ensembl. Lineage: Eukaryota; Metazoa; Chordata; Mammalia; Carnivora; Herpestidae.